Molecule: ribosomal RNA, 672 nt
Filed under: Fusarium concolor
Lineage: Eukaryota; Fungi; Ascomycota; Sordariomycetes; Hypocreales; Nectriaceae
Description: SSU rRNA
Rfam family: Bacterial small subunit ribosomal RNA
Source: RNAcentral
GCUAACGGCUGAACUGGCAACUUGGAGAAGUGGCAAGUCUUCCAGUAUGGGGAGCAAAACAGCUAUGGGUCAAGCCCGAUAUCUUUAGGAGAAGUCUUAUUGUGAGGGCGAGUUAUAUAACACCAUAGGGCUGGCCGCCCCAUAUGAAAAGAUUUUAUUAGAAUUGAAUGAAGCUUUGUUUAUAUAUUGAUAAUGACAGUAUAUAUAUCGUGUCUUGACUAAUUGCGUGCCAGCAGUCGCGGUAAUACGUAAGAGACUAGUGUUAUUCAUCUUAAUUAGGUUUAAAGGGUACCCAGACGGUCAAUAUAGCUUAUAAAAUGUUAGUACUUGACUAGAGUUUUAUGUAAGAGGGCAGUACUUGAGGAGGAGAGAUGAAAUUUCGUGAUACCAAAGGGACUCUGUAAAGGCGAAGGCAGCCCUCUAUGUAAAAACUGACGUUGAAGGACGAAGGCACAGAGAACAAACAGGAUUAGAUACCCAAGUAGUCUUUGCAGUAAAUGAUGAAUGCCAUAGGUUAGAUUAGUUAAUGUUUAUAGGUUAAUAGCUUUAGCUUUAGACUAUACAUUUAAAAUUAUUUGGUCUAUAAAUGAAAGUGUAAGCAUUUCACCUCAAGAGUAAUGUGGCAACGCAGGAACUGAAAUCACUAGACCGUUUCUGACACCAGUAGUGAAG